GACGAACGCUGGCGGCGUGCUUAACACAUGCAAGUCGAACGGAAAGACCCUGCUUUUGUGGGGUGCUCGAGUGGCGAACGGGUGAGUAACACGUGAGUAACCUGCCCUUGACUUUGGGAUAACUUCAGGAAACUGGGGCUAAUACCGGAUAGGAGCUCCUGCUGCAUGGUGGGGGUUGGAAAGUUUCGGCGGUUGGGGAUGGACUCGCGGCUUAUCAGCUUGUUGGUGGGGUAGUGGCUUACCAAGGCUUUGACGGGUAGCCGGCCUGAGAGGGUGACCGGCCACAUUGGGACUGAGAUACGGCCCAGACUCCUACGGGAGGCAGCAGUGGGGAAUAUUGCACAAUGGGCGGAAGCCUGAUGCAGCAACGCCGCGUGCGGGAUGACGGCCUUCGGGUUGUAAACCGCUUUCGCCUGUGACGAAGCGUGAGUGACGGUAAUGGGUAAAGAAGCGCCGGCUAACUACGU
This 467-nucleotide ribosomal RNA is filed under the name uncultured bacterium. RNAcentral describes it as "partial 16S ribosomal RNA". It matches the Rfam family "Bacterial small subunit ribosomal RNA", at positions 28 to 506 of the family's 1533-position model. The record is from RNAcentral.